ACUAUGGAGAGUUUGAUCCUGGCUCAGGAUGAACGCUAGCGGCAGGCCUAAUACAUGCAAGUCGAACGGUUCAUGGUUUUCGGAUCAUGGAUAGUGGCGCACGGGUGCGUAACGCGUACACAACAUACCCUUUACUGG
Molecule: ribosomal RNA, 138 nt
Filed under: Saprospiraceae bacterium
Lineage: Bacteria; Pseudomonadati; Bacteroidota; Saprospiria; Saprospirales; Saprospiraceae
Description: partial 16S ribosomal RNA
Rfam family: Bacterial small subunit ribosomal RNA
Source: RNAcentral